RNAcentral lists this ribosomal RNA (511 nucleotides) under uncultured Lachnospiraceae bacterium. Its description in RNAcentral is "bacterial SSU rRNA". It matches the Rfam family "Bacterial small subunit ribosomal RNA", at positions 903 to 1382 of the family's 1533-position model. Lineage: Bacteria; Bacillati; Bacillota; Clostridia; Lachnospirales; Lachnospiraceae. The record is from RNAcentral.
CUAUGCGCCUUGCCAGCCCCGCUCAGAAACUCAAAGGAAUUGACGGGGGCCCGCACAAGCAGCGGAGCAUGUGGUUUUAAUUCGAAGCAACGCGAAGAACCUUACCAAGACUUGACAUCCCCUGACAGCUGUUGAAAGGCAGUGUCUCUUCGGAGCAGGGAGACAGGUGGUGCAUGGUUGUCGUCAGCUCGUGUCGUGAGAUGUUGGGUUAAGUCCCGCAACGAGCGCAACCCUUAUCCUUAGUUACCAGCACGUAAAGGUGGGGACUCUAGGGAGACCGCCGGGGACGACUCGGAGGAAGGUGGGGACGACGUCAAAUCAUCAUGCCCCUUAUGUCUUGGGCUACACACGUGCUACAAUGGCCGCAACAGAGGGAAGCGAGAGCGCAAGCUGGAGCAAAACCCUAAAAAGCGGUCCCAGUUCGGAUUGUGGGCUGCAACCCGCCCACAUGAAGUCGGAGUUGCUAGUAAUCGUGAAUCAGAAUGUCACGGUGAAUACGUUCCCGGGCCUU